UACGAAGGGGGCUAGCGUUGUUCGGAAUAACUGGGCGUAAAGCGCACGUAGGCGGCCUUGUAAGUUGGGGGAGAGAGCACAGGGCUCAACCCUGGAACUGCCUCCGAUACGGCAAGUCUCGAGUCCGGGAGAGGUGAGUGGAAUUCAUAGGGUAGAGGUGAAAUUCGUAGAUAUUAGGAAGAACACCAGUGAGGAAGGCGGCUCGCUGGCCCGGUACCGUCGGUGAGGUGCGAAAGCGUGGGGAGCAGACAGG
RNAcentral lists this ribosomal RNA (253 nucleotides) under uncultured bacterium. RNAcentral's name for it is "partial 16S ribosomal RNA". It matches the Rfam family "Bacterial small subunit ribosomal RNA", at positions 524 to 776 of the family's 1533-position model. The record is from RNAcentral.